RNAcentral lists this ribosomal RNA (464 nucleotides) under uncultured ammonia-oxidizing bacterium. RNAcentral describes it as "bacterial SSU rRNA". It matches the Rfam family "Bacterial small subunit ribosomal RNA", at positions 198 to 643 of the family's 1533-position model. The record is from RNAcentral.
GGAGGAAAGUAGGGGAUCGCAAGACCUUGCACUUUUGGAGCGGCCGAUGUCUGAUUAGCUAGUUGGUGGGGUAAUGGCCUACCAAAGCGUCGAUCAGUAGCUGGUCUGAGAGGACGGCCAGCCACACUGGGACUGAGACACGGCCCAGACUCCUACGGGAGGCAGCAGUGGGGAAUUUUGGACAAUGGGCGCAAGCCUGAUCCAGCCAUGCCGCGUGAGUGAAGAAGGCCUUCGGGUUGUAAAGCUCUUUCAGCCGGGAAGAAAAGGUUGCGAUUAAUAAUCGCAAUUUAUGACGGUACCAGAAGAAGAAGCACCGGCUAACUACGUGCCAGCAGCCGCGGUAAUACGUAGGGUGCGAGCGUUAAUCGGAAUUACUGGGCGUAAAGGGUGCGCAGGCGGUUUUGUAAGUCAGAUGUGAAAUCCCCGGGCUUAACCUGGGAACUGCGUUUGAAACUACAAAGCUA